RNAcentral lists this ribosomal RNA (327 nucleotides) under uncultured eukaryote. RNAcentral describes it as "partial 18S ribosomal RNA". It matches the Rfam family "Eukaryotic small subunit ribosomal RNA", at positions 1470 to 1796 of the family's 1831-position model. The record is from RNAcentral.
CCCUUAGAUGUUCUGGGCUGCACGCGCGCUACACUGAUGCGUUCAACAAGUGUUAACCUUGCCCGAUAGGGUUGGGUAAUCUUUUGAAAGCGCAUCGUGAUGGGGAUCGAUGACUGCAAUUGUUCAUCUUCAACGAGGAAUUCCUAGUAAACGCAGAUCAUCAAUCUGCAUUGAUUACGUCCCUGCCCUUUGUACACACCGCCCGUCGCACCUACCGAUUGGAUGGUCCGGUGAAGCCUCGGGAUUGUGGUUCUUGCCGCUUUAUUGUGGCGUGACCGCGAGAACUUGUCUAAACCUUAUCAUCUAGAGGAAGGUGAAGUCGUAACA